Camelus ferus (Wild Bactrian camel) is the source of this 71-nucleotide transfer RNA. It matches the Rfam family "tRNA". Rfam says of the family: Transfer RNA (tRNA) molecules are approximately 80 nucleotides in length. Their secondary structure includes four short double-helical elements and three loops (D, anti-codon, and T loops). The record is from Rfam. NCBI's taxonomy places the organism in Eukaryota, Metazoa, Chordata, Mammalia, Artiodactyla, Camelidae.
GAGGAUAUAGCUCAAUGGUAGAGUGCAUGCUUCACAUACACAAGGUCCUGGGUUCAAUCCCCAGUACCUCU